CCCCCUCAGUCUCCCCCAAAGACAAACCAACCAAAUCCUUAUGUAACAGACUGAGAGCUACCUAAAGGGGGUACAGCCCCUUUAAAAAAGGAUACAACCUCCACCAGCGGAUAACCUCAUCCUACUCCAAACCCCCGUGGGCCCUAAAGCAGCCACCUCUAAAGAGUGCGUCAAAGCUCCGCAAACAAAAAUCCAAAAACAACGCGAAUCCCUAAACCCAUAGCGGGCUAACCUACAACAGUAGGUGAAUCUAUGCUAAAACGAGUAACUAGGAUACUAAAUCCCCUCAAGCGCCAACUUAAACACCAUUAACAGCACAACCACAAUACCGAACACCCCCCCGACCGAACAUUGAACGCACCCUGUCGAACCAACCCAGGAGCGCACACUAGGAUGAUUAAAAUCUGCAAAAGGAACUCGGCAAACCCAAGACCCGACUGUUUACCAAAAACAUAGCCUUCAGCCAAACAAGUAUUGAAGGUGAUGCCUGCCCAGUGACAUUGUUUAACGGCCGCGGUAUCCUAACCGUGCAAAGGUAGCGCAAUCAAUUGUCCCAUAAAUCGAGACCUGUAUGAAUGGCUAAACGAGGUCUUAACUGUCUCCUGCAGAUAAUCAGUGAAACUGAUCUCUUUGUGCAAAAGCAAAGAUAAACACAUAAGACGAGAAGACCCUGUGGAACUUUAAAAUUAAUAGCCACCUCAACCAACUUACAAACCCAUUAGGCCCACUCCACAAACACUGGCUAACAU
Molecule: ribosomal RNA, 749 nt
Filed under: Triclaria malachitacea
Lineage: Eukaryota; Metazoa; Chordata; Aves; Psittaciformes; Psittacidae
Description: partial 16S ribosomal RNA
Rfam family: Archaeal large subunit ribosomal RNA (bases 395-646)
Source: RNAcentral